AGUAAAAGUCGUAACAAGGUUUCCGUAGGUGAACCUGCGGAAGGAUCAUUAUUGAAAUAAACCUGAUGGGUUGUUGCUGGCUCUCUAGGGAGCAUGUGCACGCCUUGUCAUCUUUAUAUCUCCACCUGUGCACUUUUUGUAGACCUGAAAAGGUCUAUGUUGCUUCAUUUUACCCCAAUGUAUGUCUAUAGAAUGUUGUGCCUAUGAUAAUAUAUACAACUUUCAGCAACGGAUCUCUUGGCUCUCGCAUCGAUGAAGAACGCAGCGAAAUGCGAUAAGUAAUGUGAAUUGCAGAAUUCAGUGAAUCAUCGAAUCUUUGAACGCACCUUGCGCUCCUUGGUAUUCCGAGGAGCAUGCCUGUUUGAGUGUCAUUAAUAUAAUCAACCUUCAACUCGUUUGAGUGGUUUGGAUGUGGGGGUUUGCUGGCCUUUCAAAAGGUUUCAGCUCCUCUGAAAUGCAUUAGCAGAACAAACCUUGUUCAUUGGUGUGAUAACUAUCUACGCUUAUGAAUGUGAGGGGCAGUUCAGCUUUCUAAUCGUCUUUGGACAAUUCAUCAUUAAUGUGACCUCAAAUCAGGUAGGACUACCCGCUGAACUUAAGCAUAUCAAUAAGCGGAGGAAAAGAAACUAACAAGGAUUCCCCUAGUAACUGCGAGUGAAGCGGGAAAAGCUCAAAUUUAAAAUCUGGCGGUCUUUUGGC
RNAcentral lists this ribosomal RNA (699 nucleotides) under uncultured Cortinarius. RNAcentral's name for it is "eukaryotic LSU rRNA". The stretch from base 218 to 371 matches the Rfam family "5.8S ribosomal RNA". The record is from RNAcentral. Lineage: Eukaryota; Fungi; Basidiomycota; Agaricomycetes; Agaricales; Cortinariaceae.